GUAAAUAUAUAUUUUUUAGUUUGAUAAAAAAAAGUUGACCAGCGAGCCGUCAUCAGUACCAAAUAAUGCCCCAAAUUUGGCUCUUUAAGCACUUUCAGAAAGACACUUUGAUUUUCUGAAAAAAUGUCAAAAUGACGUCAUCAGUAGCAAAUAAGGGCCUAAAUGUGACCCUUUAAGCACUUUCAGAAAGGAAUUCUCAAGAGAUGAUUAUCGAGAAUGUUGUCAACAUGCUUUGCAAUUACUUAAUCUAAAACAAAUAAAUAUACAGUGGCACAAACCUGGAGCUUUCUUUUAUGUUAGAUGGAUGUGUACAAUCUUGUAUACAUCAAAAAUGUUUGCUUUUGCUGACCUUGCAAAGCAUGAAGAAAGUUUUAUAGAGAAAUUGUCACGGUUUUGUAAAUGUACUUUUCUAUUUUAUGUGAAAAUAUGCCUUACGUUUACAAGCACAGUCAAUCUCUUAUUUAAUGACUUGGAAUUCUACAAAGAAAUGAUUAUUUGUAAAACAAAUUGAAAAUGAUGUUGCUGUUGCUGCUCUGAAAAAGUUUAAUUGGCAUCUUUGGUAUUUAACCGUAGAAAUGCCCUUUUUUCAUUAUUUUCUGAUAAAGAAUCUGAACGUGACAAAACUAAAAUUGCUAAAAAUUGCUAAUCCUGAAAGGUAUAAAAAAAAACUGUGAACAUGAUAUAGGCUUUCCACAAUUUCCUCUUUUAAAGCAGAGUACUUGUUUGACUGAUUUAAUUGGACUAAAAUCAACCAACAUUCUAAAUUUAUUCGGAUAUUCAAAUGAUGACGGUGGUUGCUUGGUAAAAUCCUAAAGUUUUGGAAACCUAAAACAAACUUUAAUCACGUGUUUGAGCAUAUCAAAUCACUGAGAUCUGUAAACGAAACAGCAGAACGAGCUGUUAAACUAAUUCAAGAUUAUGCAACAUCUAUUAUGAAAGAUAAAGAGCAGAAAAAAAUUUCAAAAAAAAAAAAAACAGAAAAAUUUCUUUUACCUGCAAUAGAUCACCAACGAAAAGUUUUCCCUCGCAUAAAAAAACAUAUUGAAAAUAUGCUUUUCAAUCUUUUUUUUAUUAUACCUUUAAAAUAUUGUUAUUUUGUUGUUAUAAUUUUAAAAAACUGAGAUUUUGAAUUUCUUAGUACUUAUUCCCAUUGUGCUUUA
Hydra vulgaris (swiftwater hydra) is the source of this 1160-nucleotide non-coding RNA. The record is from RefSeq and is a predicted model, not a curated record. NCBI's taxonomy places the organism in Eukaryota, Metazoa, Cnidaria, Hydrozoa, Anthoathecata, Hydridae.